GCACAGAGAUGAGGUCCGACAGGCGCAAGGGUUUCCCUGACAUCGGGCACUUCACGAUGCGUGACUGCUUCCGACACACACACACACACGCACACAGGGGUCCCUUCACCUUCAUCUGCCGGGCGAUCUCGCGCUUCUGGUGCAGGAUGUACUCCAGGAUUGCUUCGCGCUCAUAUAGGAAGCCGUCAGGACUGCAAGGCACAUGGGGGUGCAGGGUCACCACAGAAAUAGGAGAUGUCCCCGGAGACCCAGCAGCCACAUACAGAGGCACCAAUAAAGAGCAGGGUAGAUGCAGAGAUGCUCAA
Phascolarctos cinereus (koala) is the source of this 305-nucleotide non-coding RNA. NCBI's taxonomy places the organism in Eukaryota, Metazoa, Chordata, Mammalia, Diprotodontia, Phascolarctidae. The record is from RefSeq and is a predicted model, not a curated record.